CCUACGGGGGGCAGCAGUAGGGAAUCUUUCACAAUGGGCGAAAGCCUGAUGGAGCAACGCCGCGUGCAGGAUGAAGGCCUUCGGGUUGUAAACUGCUUUUAUAAGCGAGAAAUAUGAUGGUAACUUAUGAAUAAGGAUCGGCUAACUACGUGCCAGCAGCCGCGGUCAUACGUAGGAUCCGAGCAUUAUCCGGAGUGACUGGGUGUAAAGAGUUGCGUAGGUGGCAUAAUAAGUAGCUAGUGAAAUCUGGUGGCUCAACAAUUCAGACUAUUAGCUAAACUGUUAAGCUCGAGACCGUUAGGGGUAACUGGAAUUUCUAGUGUAGGAGUGAAAUCCGUAGAUAUUAGAAGGAACACCAAUAGCGUAGGCAGGUUGCUGGGACGGUUCUGACACUAAGGCACGAAAGCGUAGGGAGCAAACGGGAUUAGAUACCCGAGUAGUC
RNAcentral lists this ribosomal RNA (442 nucleotides) under uncultured bacterium. RNAcentral describes it as "partial 16S ribosomal RNA". It matches the Rfam family "Bacterial small subunit ribosomal RNA", at positions 338 to 795 of the family's 1533-position model. The record is from RNAcentral.